Molecule: long non-coding RNA, 3962 nt
Organism: Pipra filicauda (Wire-tailed manakin)
Lineage: Eukaryota; Metazoa; Chordata; Aves; Passeriformes; Pipridae
Exons: 4
Source: RefSeq, a predicted model, not a curated record
CAGCAGCAGGAAAUGAGAGCCUUCCCUGGAGUCCUUCCCAGGAAAGCUGUGGAAAACCUGGAGCUGAACCCAGACCCAGGAGACACAGAAUGGCCCCAAAACGAGUGAUGGGGUGGGCCAGGAACCGCCCCCAGGAAGCUCAGUUGGAAAACUCAAUCAGCACAAGGGAUGCUGAGGGAAACGGGGACAUUCCAGGCCAAACCCUCCCUGCCUCUCCCAGAGACCCAGGAGCUCUGCAGCUUCCCUGCUGCUGCUUCCAGCAGUGCCUGGAUGGGAGGAUUUUGUGCCGUUUCAGGCUGAGGAUGAAAGGGAGAAAUGGUUGAACACCCCGAGCUCCGACGGGAGCAGCAGCAGGAGCCGCGCUGAUGGAAAUGGCCCAAAUCGAUGGUGGGUUUAGGGAGGUUCUUUUCAUUGUUGGCUGCAAGAUUUCAGUGAAAGCUUUUCUAAACAUGUAUUUCAGGAGAAGGCAAAGACUUCUUGCAGGGUGAACCAAAUAUGAAAUUACAGAUCUUGAAGGAGAACUGCACUUGUAAAAUGAAAAACAUGAUGUGGCACAGCAAAAAUGGGACCAUUGUCCUGAAGGCUUUGGAUCUGGCCUUUAAAGUGUAGUUUGGGGAUUAAUCAUCAAAUGGUUUUGUCAUAGCAAUUUGACUCAAGUGGUUCUUUGCUUAUAUUGAAGACUUAAAUUACACACUCAUUGUCAAUGAAAUAAUUUUAAAUAAUGCAGCUGUUAAAGUUGCCUGGUUUGACUGUUGGACUUUCAGUAUUUGCUGGGUAAUAUCUGCUUCUUCACUCCUUCCUCUUCAUCUGGAGGCCUCUCCUCCAAAUGAGAUCUGGCCCAAGGGGGACUUUAAUCUUCUCCAGACACCAGCUCUGCACUCCCAUGUGCACUUGAGGUUUGGAGCACUCUCAACACCCACCAAAAUGACCAGGUAAAGACUUGAGUUCCUGCUGGUAAACCCAGCAUGGAGGACCUGGCCACCCAAGGCAAAGGUGGAGGUGGAAUGGGUCUGCUUCCCACAGGGAUUGUACUAAUAGUAACUUUUUACUUCUCCUGAUUUUGUAGAGUGUGUUCAGAGAAUCAUAGGAUGACUAAGGUUGGAAAAUACCUCCAAGAUCAUCAAGUCCAACCUUCCCUAGAUGUGAAUAAUACCAUAAUUAUAUUGGUAUAGAAAUGGAAAAUGAACUCCAAAAUAUUUUGAUCUGGAGAAUUUGAGUUUAGUUCUAGUGGGAAUUAAGCAGAAGAAUUUUCAAGUAAUUUAUGUUUGAAAUGCCUUCAUAACUUGUGCUUCAUAAAAACAGAGAGUGACAUAAAAUGACAGUAAAACUCCCAUUUUGGAACUGGACAUUCUCCCUCCUGGCAGUAAAGAGCAAAGGUAAUUUGCUGUGUUUCAGAGAGGUUGUCAGUAGUUACUGUGACUUCAAAUGAUGUCACAGGAACACUGAGACAUCUCCAUCCUGCGACUCCCAGGAGGUGCUUUGAUGGUGAGUUGGUGAUUUAUGGCUCUGAAUUAGAGUUUGUGGUUAGAAUUAAUGUCCUGGGCAGCAACAACAAAACCUCUGCAGGCUCCCCUGGUUCCCCCAGGCCAGGGGCUGGGCAGGGGCCUGGGCUGCCCUGUCCUGGCCCUGCUCAAAGCUUUGCCCUUUGGAAAUCCGGGCAGGAGCUGCCUCUGUUGACGUGGGACCUCCUUAUGUAACCCUCUUGCUACUGGAGCACCUCGGUGUAAAUGGAAAAGUUAAGAAGAAAAUACAAGAAGAAACACAAGAGGGUUUUUUUCCCUCCUUAAGUGCUCUCAUGGGUUUGCUGUCUUUUACUUGUUCCUCUCUUCUCCAAAAUUAAAUCUUUUCCUUUUUUACCCCUCAAAAAGCAUGAAAAGGAAAAUUGCUAAUGAAUCAAAACACAAGAAAAGUUAAUGGUUGUGUCCAGAACACUGAUUUGUCUUUGUGGGUGUGGCAGAACUAGAACUGGAGCCCACGUGGAGUUUCCAUCCAGUGCUGCUCUGCACUCAUCAGCCAUCCCUCCAAUUAAUUAACUGCCUGAAAUUAAUAUACAGACCAGCAUCACUUUUAAUUUCAUUUUCUGUUUCUCCAAACUGAAUUGCCUUUAAUAAAAACCUUAUAAAAAGCAGAUUUUCUCUUAUCUUCUCCUGCCAACCCUGAGCCACCAUUGGUAUGUUUUACAAUACUCGGUUUGAUUGAGCCAGAGUUACACCCUGAGUUAAUGAACAAGGCAGAGUGGGAAUAUAAGACAACUUUUCAGCCUACAGAUAAUGCAGAACACUGUCAAAUGGGUAAUUCAAGAGAAAGAAGAAAGCCUCUCAAAGUUUAACACAAAAAUAAAUGAUGGGUUUAGCACUGCUACAGGAACAUUGCAUUUCCCAGAAGUAAAAGCUUGUUGGGAUCUGGGUCAAGAGAAAAAAAAAAUUGUAAAAUUAAGCAACACUUCAAAGUUUGGAUUUAUUAGAAGUGAGUGAAGUUCAUUGUCACCUGGUGCAGACAAGGUUUUCUUAAGGGCUGGGGAGUUUGUGUUUGACUUUAUUCUUAAAUAUUUACAAGAAAACUAACCACUGUGUUUUGGUUCUGUAAAUAUUGACAGCAGGUUUUCAUCUUUCAUUAGGAGGACCAAUAUUUGCUGGAUUGGAUCCGUGACCCUCAGGUUAAGUGCACAGAGAGAUGGGACAGGGAUCUUCUCGCUGCCGUGAGGGUUCAAACUGGGUGAUUCCAGUGAAACUAAAGGGAGGGAAAUGGGGGAGUUGUGGACCUUUUCUAUUAAAAUACACCAAAAGUUUGAGUGAGAGAUGCUCUUCUCCCUGAGAUCACAUGUCCCAGGUGUCUCCUGACUGUGGCUUUCAGGCUGAUGUGGGUCUGGUUUCUCCUUCUCUCUGCCUUUGUUUUGGUGACAACGUUCUCUUGAGGGAGCUUGGCUGAUGCUGCACCCCUUGCUGGCCCUGCUGAGCUUUACAUUUGGAGUUUUAUAUCCAUGGAGGUUUGUGAAAAUCCUCUUCAUUUUUGCAAGCCCUUAUUUAAGUCCCAGGUACUUAAUUAUCCACUGUGGCCAAGCUCAGCAUCCUUCCUAGAGGUGUCACAAGUGCAUCUUGGCUCAAAAAUCCAAAAUCCUUGAGUAAACUUUGCACCUAAAUUUUGGGGUUGGAUUUGGUUGGUCUAUGAGCUGUAAAUUCCUAAAGAGCAUUUGUCUAUAGAGUCAUAACAUGAGUCAAAGGCCUGACUUUUUAAAGGAAUUCCAUGUUUCCCACCUGAAGUAAUCAGGGAAGACAAUACAGAGUGAUUUUCAAGAACUCCAGUUCCUUUGGUUUGAAUGUUCUGUGUGAUUUGCUAGUCAGAAAUUCCAUCAUGUUUUGUACCACUCCUCAAAAAUCUCAGCUGCAGUUUUUUCCCUCCUCAGAGCUGUCUUGUGCAUGACAAACCCCACAUUGUUCCUGUGUGUUCUUCUGCAUUUAUUUCAUGUCAUCUUCUUCCAGGAAAGAAAAAAACCCAGAGCUUCUCUCACUUAGCACCCUUUGGGACAGCAGCUGUAGAUGAAGAGCAAGCAAUCAACAUGUCAGGAUAAAAUUAGAUUGCCACGGAGUACAAGGUCUCUGGUUACCAGUAGCUGUCUCCUGAAGGGAGCCAUGAGGAUGUCUGAGGCCUGGCUGGGGUUCCUGUGGGGGUACUGAGCCAAGGAGGUGUUUAACCCUCGGGCAUCGCAAUUUGUGCCACGUGGAAUCUUCAGCUGUUGGAAUGUCCUGUGGUAUUAUCAGAAAUUCCCUUUCCAAGUCUGCUGAGCUCCUGAUGCCCAGGAUGUGAUCUAUCAGAAGGAAAGCAGCCCUGAAAGGAGAUGCAGGAGAUCCUCCUGUGAUGGAGAUCGCACCGCUCCCAGAAGGAUGCCAGUGAUGAGGCUGAUUCCUUGCUGGCAAAACCUUUCCUUAUCCAGGAGCAAUUUGGCUGAAUCCACCAUCUUAUUU